GCAGGUGACAGUCGCGAUGGGGGUCCACCCAGUCCCAUCCCGAACCUGGCAGUUAAGCCCAUCCGCGCCUAGGAUACUGCGCCCGCAGGGGCGUGGGAAAGUAGGUCGUCGCCGGCC
This 117-nucleotide ribosomal RNA is filed under the name Chloroflexota bacterium. The record is from RNAcentral. Lineage: Bacteria; Bacillati; Chloroflexota.